Molecule: small nucleolar RNA, 85 nt
Organism: Cucurbita moschata (crookneck pumpkin)
Lineage: Eukaryota; Viridiplantae; Streptophyta; Magnoliopsida; Cucurbitales; Cucurbitaceae
Product: small nucleolar RNA SNORD25
Exons: 1
Source: RefSeq, a predicted model, not a curated record
UUAAGCAGUGAUGAGCCUAACAGACCUGUAAUGAUUUGCGAAUAUGAUCGCAAUCCAUUAUGAACAUCUAAGGGACUGAGUUUAU